Molecule: small RNA, 206 nt
Filed under: Arthrobacter agilis
Lineage: Bacteria; Bacillati; Actinomycetota; Actinomycetes; Micrococcales; Micrococcaceae
Description: c-di-AMP sequence
Rfam family: c-di-AMP riboswitch aptamer (ydaO/yuaA leader)
About the family: This family represents a conserved RNA structure found upstream of the ydaO and yuaA genes in Bacillus subtilis and related genes in other bacteria. The ydaO/yuaA element is thought to act as a genetic "off" switch for the ydaO and yuaA genes in its native state. It is believed that the element may be triggered during osmotic shock leading to activation of ydaO, a predicted amino acid transporter gene, and members of the yuaA-yubG operon which code for KtrA and KtrB K+ transporters.
Source: RNAcentral
UCCUCACUCUGCCUAACCCUGUCGAUGAGGACGGACCGUUCGCUACACAUAUCGACAGGGGCGGGGGAACCGAAAGCGGGCUCUCUCCGGAGUCCUAGGGGUAAAGACGCGCGUGGACCACAGCUGGGGCGGUGGUCAAUGCGAUACGCGUCCGGAUGUCCCAUCCGAACCCGACAGCUAACUUCGCAGGCAUUGGGAAAGGCAGC